CCGAAUCCCUGUACGAUCACCGAAGUUAAGCAACGUUGAGUCUGGUCAGUACCUAGAUGGGUGACCAUUUGGGAAUACCAGGUUUUGUA
Acanthosepion pharaonis is the source of this 89-nucleotide non-coding RNA. Lineage: Eukaryota; Metazoa; Mollusca; Cephalopoda; Sepiida; Sepiidae. The record is from the annotation of a GenBank genome assembly.